AAGAGUUAGGGUCUUCUAGGCCCGACCUCCCAACCCUUUGUUUACUGAACCUCUGUUGCUUCGGCGGGCCCGUCUCACGACCGCCGGAGGAUCGCUGAAAGGCGUCCUCUGGUCAGCGUCUGCCGAUAGCCAACCAUUUCAAACUCUGAAUAAAUCAUGUCCUUACGUCUAAGUCUAUGAUUAAAUUAAAGCA
RNAcentral lists this unclassified non-coding RNA (193 nucleotides) under uncultured Cladophialophora. RNAcentral describes it as "sequence contains ITS1". Lineage: Eukaryota; Fungi; Ascomycota; Eurotiomycetes; Chaetothyriales; Herpotrichiellaceae. The record is from RNAcentral.